GCUUCGGUGGCCUAGUUGUUAGAGCGUCCGCCUCAGACACGGGAGUUCUUGGGUUCGAUCCCCGGUCGAGUUA
Molecule: non-coding RNA, 73 nt
Organism: Potamilus streckersoni
Lineage: Eukaryota; Metazoa; Mollusca; Bivalvia; Unionida; Unionidae
Source: the annotation of a GenBank genome assembly